AGAAAAGGAAAAGAGAAAAUUUAUCAAUCAUGAAAAUGGUCCUAGAACGUCAACUCAUUUUUUAUAUAUAAAUUUUGGCUACUUAUUCUCAUUUUUAUUUUUCAAGUUGGCUUGGAUGGAUUAAAAUGACUCAGUUUUCUUUUUCUUUUUUUGUAGUGGAUAAUAAAUGCUUUCAAUUUUUUUCCUUUCAUGGAGAAGUUUAUCAUGUAAUUGACUUUAAAAUUCAUACUUUAAUGAAAUUCACUCGUACCAUCAAGUUUUCUAGGUUUGUAUGUAAGAUAAAUUUAGGCCACCCCAUUUUCAGAUCCUGGAUCCGUCCCUGAUCAGGCCCAGUCAUUCCCUCACAAAGUUAUAGUCUAUGUUGCAUGGACACGGAUACGGGGACAAGGGAACGCGACGCAGGGACACGAUGACACGGAAAAUCUCAAAAAAUUAAGACACGGGUCCGUAGGACACGGCAAUUAAAAUAAUAAUUUAUUCUCAAUACUUCAAUGUCACAUAAUUUCAUAAAACAAAACAAAUCACUCAUGUUCAUCAUCCAUACAUAAUAAUUAAUAGACCACAAAAUAAAACAUAAAUGAUAUAAC
This 587-nucleotide long non-coding RNA is filed under the name Prunus persica (peach). RNAcentral describes it as "long non-coding RNA (PPER_LNC004482)". Lineage: Eukaryota; Viridiplantae; Streptophyta; Magnoliopsida; Rosales; Rosaceae. The record is from RNAcentral.